GCCCGGGCCUUCCCUCUGGGGAACCUCCAGCCCUUCACUGGGGGUGUUGGGGGACCCGGAAUUUUACUUUGAAAAAAUUAGAGUGGUCAAAGCCGGCCUUUGCUUGGAUUCAUUAGCAUGGGAUUAUUAAAUAGGGCGUGUGGUUUUAUUUUGUUGGUUUCUAGGGCCGCCGUAAUGAUUAAUAGGGAUAGUUGGGGGCCUCCGUAUUCCAUUGUCAGAGGUGAAAUUUUUGGAUUUAAUGAAGACUAAAUACUGGGAAAGCCUUUGCCAAGGAUGUUUUCCUUAAUCAGUGAACGAAAGUUAGGGGAUCGAAGACGAUCAGAUACCGUCGUAGUCUUAACCAUAAACUAUGCCGACUAGGGAUCGGGCGAUGUUAUUUUUUUGACUCGCUCGGCACCUUA
Molecule: ribosomal RNA, 401 nt
Filed under: Podosphaera xanthii
Lineage: Eukaryota; Fungi; Ascomycota; Leotiomycetes; Helotiales; Erysiphaceae
Description: partial small subunit ribosomal RNA
Rfam family: Eukaryotic small subunit ribosomal RNA
Source: RNAcentral